UGCACAAAAUGCAACACAAAAAUUCACGCGCGUGGUUUUUUUCGCGAGUCAAACGCGCCCCACGCGCUACACUGACGCGCGUUUCAGGCGUUUUGGCGUUUUCGCGACGCAAAUCUAUGGCAAGCCAUUAGUGCCAAAAUUCGCCACUUUUCUAACCCGUUUGAUUAAGAAACGGCGUAAAAAACGCCGUUUAAUUAUUCAAAACGCCGAAAAAAACGGCGUUCUGUUUCGACAAACGCCGUUUUUUCCGACUCUCACAUGGCGCCCUGAACGCACCAUCCGAGUGACGUAAAAAGCGGCGUUCAAAGACACACGGAAACGCCGUUUUUUACGCCACUCGGCAGAAAACGCCGUUCAAAGAUGCAUAAAGACGGCGUUUUUUACGGCGUUCUGUGCCAGCUGUAACGGCGUUUAAAACGGCGUUUUAUUGAAAUUAUGCAGGGCACUCCCCAUGGUUCCCUCAUCCAAUUACUUUCAACUCAUUUCACCCAAUCAAAGAAGAGGAAGUGCAGACCACACUAAUGCAUCACCGAUUCACCUUGCUGCUAAGUGAUUGCCUAUUCAGUACCAGUGCUUGUCACAGUAUUGACUUGUAUUAUAAUCCCACUAUGCAUUUUGAUGUGUUUAAGGCAUGAUCAAGCAAACAAACGACAGAAUACUUUUUCUGAAACCUUAACUGUGAUACCUGUUAUGGCAGCUAACAGACACUCGGCGCAUGGCUCCUUUGUUUACGUUAGGGAUCAGCUGUUAGCGCUGCGCCCUGCAGCUGCGCUACCGGCAGACAGACCCUACGUCCCCAGUGAGGGAAGAGACGGGGGUGAUGUCUCCCGAGAAGGACACCUUACACACCAUCUCUCCUUCCUGUAAUCACUGUAAACGUGAGAUCGCUCCUGAUAUGAUUGAGGAGCUAAUGACGCUAACCCGGUCACAGUGGCAGUACCCCGACACUGCCCGGUACUCCCUCUGUGAGUAGGCUGCCCGGCUUCCAGCUGCUGCGGCCGGACAAGACCAGAGACAGCGGUGAGAGGAAAGGAGGGGACUGGGCAGUGUUUGUUAAAGACAGUUGUGGUAUCCCUGGGCACAUUGCUGUGAAAGAACAACUCUGCAACAGAGACAUUGAGCUAUUAGCCGUUAGCAUCCGUGGAGGCAGCCUGUGACUCUCUGUGGUCCGCAGACUGCAGACGCAAUCUCCGAGAGCUCUUCUUCUAAUAUCAGGGGACUUUAAUCAUGUCUCGCUGGACUCCACACUGCCCACCUUCACCCAUGUGGAGUCCAGCGAGACAUGAUUAAAGUCCCCUGAUAUUAGAAGAAGAGCUCUCGGAGAUUGCGUCUGCAGUCUGCGGACCACAGAGAGUCACAGGCUGCCUCCACGGAUGCUAACGGCUAAUAGCUCAAUGUCUCUGUUGCAGAGUUGUUCUUUCACAGCAAUGUGCCCAGGGAUACCACAACUGUCUUUAACAAAC
Molecule: long non-coding RNA, 1463 nt
Organism: Oreochromis aureus
Lineage: Eukaryota; Metazoa; Chordata; Actinopteri; Cichliformes; Cichlidae
Source: Ensembl